This 99-nucleotide ribosomal RNA is filed under the name Aliicoccus persicus. Its description in RNAcentral is "partial 23S ribosomal RNA". It matches the Rfam family "Bacterial large subunit ribosomal RNA", at positions 2827 to 2925 of the family's 2925-position model. The record is from RNAcentral. Lineage: Bacteria; Bacillati; Bacillota; Bacilli; Caryophanales; Staphylococcaceae.
CAAUAGAUCCCUCAGAGAUGAUGAGGUAGAUAGGUUCGGCAUGUAAGUCUAGCGAUAGAUGUAGUGGACGAAUACUAAUGGAUCAAAUGACUUAUUCAA